This 107-nucleotide small nuclear RNA is filed under the name Choloepus hoffmanni (Hoffmann's two-fingered sloth). The record is from RNAcentral. Lineage: Eukaryota; Metazoa; Chordata; Mammalia; Pilosa; Megalonychidae.
GUGCUUGCUUCAGCAGCACAUAUACUAAAAUUGGAAUGAUACAGAGAAUAUUAGCAUGGCCCCUGUGCAAGGAUGACAUGCAAAUUCACUAAGCUUUCCAUAUUAAA